CCUACGGGUGACAGCAGUGAGGAAUAUUGGUCAAUGGACGAGAGUCUGAACCAGCCAAGUAGCGUGAAGGAUGACUGCCCUAUGGGUUGUAAACUUCUUUUAUAUGGGAAUAAAACGUUCCACGUGUGGGAUUUUGUAUGUACCAUAUGAAUAAGGAUCGGCUAACUCCGUGCCAGCAGCCGCGGUAAUACGGAGGAUCCGAGCGUUAUCCGGAUUUAUUGGGUUUAAAGGGAGCGUAGGUGGAUUGUUAAGUCAGUUGUGAAAGUUUGCGGCUCAACCGUAAAAUUGCAGUUGAAACUGGCAGUCUUGAGUACAGUAGAGGUGGGCGGAAUUCGUGGUGUAGCGGUGAAAUGCUUAGAUAUGACGAAGAACUCCGGUUGCGAAGGCAGUUCACUGGACUGCAACUGACACUGAGGCUCGAAAGUGUGGGUAUCAAACAGGAUUAGAUACCCCGGUAGUC
Molecule: ribosomal RNA, 460 nt
Filed under: uncultured bacterium
Lineage: Bacteria
Description: partial 16S ribosomal RNA
Rfam family: Bacterial small subunit ribosomal RNA
Source: RNAcentral